Hibiscus syriacus is the source of this 450-nucleotide long non-coding RNA. RefSeq lists it as uncharacterized. NCBI's taxonomy places the organism in Eukaryota, Viridiplantae, Streptophyta, Magnoliopsida, Malvales, Malvaceae. The record is from RefSeq and is a predicted model, not a curated record. The transcript has 3 exons.
GCAUCAAAACUUGCAGUUAAGCAUUAGAAAUAGUAGGAGAUGAAUACCCUUUUCUCCAAGAGAAGUUCCCUCUUAACCUUCCAUUCUUCUUCAGCUAAUCCCUCCAAAACAAGAGCAGAAAAUUGAAGUCAGCUAAGCAGGAGGUUCUGUUUACCAAUCAAUCAUCUUAUAAACAAGAACAGUAGUACCUGGUGACUUUGCAGGCUUUGUUGCAGCACAUCGGAUAAUAAGGCCACGCCGAGUCUGCGAAGCUAGUCUUUGCUUAGAUGCAUGACCUGAUCUUAGAGUCACAAGGCAAGAACAAUCUGGAGUAAUUUUGGAAGAGAUAGUCAAUGGGGAGGACCUAAAAUUGGGGUAUACUGAAGAGGAUGAAGUUGAGUUUGGGGUGAUUGAAGCAAGUGCAGCCAUUUUCUUCUUGACAAAAGAUCAGUUGGAAAACUUGGACACAUG